Molecule: ribosomal RNA, 367 nt
Filed under: uncultured bacterium
Lineage: Bacteria
Description: bacterial SSU rRNA
Rfam family: Bacterial small subunit ribosomal RNA
Source: RNAcentral
AGGUAGGGAGGAAGGUAGUGUAGUUAACACCUGCAUUAUUUGACGUUACCUACAGAAGAAGCACCGGCUAACUCCGUGCCAGCAGCCGCGGUAAUACGGAGGGUGCGAGCGUUAAUCGGAAUUACUGGGCGUAAAAGCGCAUGCAGGCGGCCUGUUAAGUCAGAUGUGAAAAGCCCGGGCUUAAACCUCGGAAAUUGCAUUUGAAAACUGGCAGGCUAGAGUCUUGUAGAGGGGGUAGAAUUUCAGGUGUAGCGGUGAAAAUGCGUAGAGAUCUGAAGGAAUACCAGUGGCGAAGGCGGCCCCUGGACAAAGACUGACGCUCAGAUGCGAAAGCGUGGGGAGCAAACAGGAUUAGAUACCCUGGUAG